This 69-nucleotide transfer RNA is filed under the name Marilyna darwinii (Darwin toadfish). Its description in RNAcentral is "tRNA-Pro". It matches the Rfam family "tRNA". From Rfam's summary of the family: Transfer RNA (tRNA) molecules are approximately 80 nucleotides in length. Their secondary structure includes four short double-helical elements and three loops (D, anti-codon, and T loops). Lineage: Eukaryota; Metazoa; Chordata; Actinopteri; Tetraodontiformes; Tetraodontidae. The record is from RNAcentral.
CAAGAAGUAGUUUACUGAGAACACAGGCUUUGGAAGCCUGAAGAGGGGGUUAAAACCCCUCCUUUUUGA